GAUGAACGCUGGCGGCGUGCUUAACACAUGCAAGUCGAACGGGAUCCAUCGGGCUUUGCUUGGUGGUGAGAGUGGCGAACGGGUGAGUAAUGCGUGACCGACCUGCCCCAUGCACCGGAAUAGCUCCUGGAAACGGGUGGUAAUGCCGGAUGUUCCAGUUGAUCGCAUGGUCUUCUGGGAAAGCUUUCGCGGUAUGGGAUGGGGUCGCGUCCUAUCAGCUUGACGGCGGGGUAACGGCCCACCGUGGCUUCGACGGGUAGCCGGCCUGAGAGGGCGACCGGCCACAUUGGGACUGAGAUACGGCCCAGACUCCUACGGGAGGCAGCAGUGGGGAAUAUUGCACAAUGGGCGCAAGCCUGAUGCAGCGACGCCGCGUGAGGGAUGGAGGCCUUCGGGUUGUAAACCUCUUUUAUCGGGGAGCAAGCGUGAGUGAGUU
Molecule: ribosomal RNA, 436 nt
Filed under: Bifidobacterium longum
Lineage: Bacteria; Bacillati; Actinomycetota; Actinomycetes; Bifidobacteriales; Bifidobacteriaceae
Description: bacterial SSU rRNA
Rfam family: Bacterial small subunit ribosomal RNA
Source: RNAcentral